Molecule: long non-coding RNA, 2089 nt
Filed under: Homo sapiens (human)
Lineage: Eukaryota; Metazoa; Chordata; Mammalia; Primates; Hominidae
Description: HSALNT0016647
Source: RNAcentral
GAGAGGACUGAAGUGCUGAAAGGUGAAGCAACGGUCUUGUGGCUUCCCAGCUUCUAGAUGAUGACGCCAGGUUUUAUACUUAAACAGUUUUGUUCAUAAGCAGAGAGCCUGAGCUCCUGGCCAAGAUACCUCACUGCCAAGGCACUUAGGACAUAUCAGUGAACAAAAUAGACCAGGAGGAUGUGCUGUCCCAGACAAUCAACACAAGGCUCUGAGGUGGCUAGAUCAUAGACAUUAACACAUACUACACUCGAAGCAGAGAAAAGCCUUGAAUUUCAGAAGCCUAGGCUCUGAGAAGAUACAUAGCACAGAAAAUGUGAGAUGAAUCAGAUCUAUUUUUCAUGCCCCCAAACUAUUUACAGCUUAUCAGAAUAAAGAAGACAGUGGGCUGCAUGAAGGAGGUGACAGUCACAGAGGAAGCUCGAAAGGUCACUAUGUUGGUGAAUUGGAGCACCUAACUGCAGACAGGACCCACAGCUCCAUUCUUGAAUGGAGGCCAGUGAAACAAGACUCUCGCAUGGAAAGACGUGUAGAAUGUCUAGUGUGAGAGGCCUGAGAGGCUCUGAAAACUGCUACUGCUCAUCAUGAUGUGGGGGCAGAAAAUUGAGCCAGAGAGAAACUGGAAUUUGAUGCAGGACUAUGGUAGUCCCAUGUGGUUUCUAUAGCUCAUGGGCCAUGAGGCCAACAGCACAUUCACUCCAGAGCGGGACACUGGGAUUAUCUGAGAGGGCCCUGGUCACCAAGGAUCGUGGAUGGAGAAGGAGGGUUGAUGCAGCAGGGACCUGCACUAAACCAAAGACUGGUUAGGCACAAAACCAACAAACAUGUACCUGUUCAGGUCUAGGGCACACAGGAUGUCCCUCAUGUCUGCAAGCAACACCUUUCAUAGUGCUGCAUUUUCUGGCUGCCAGAUGGAGCUUUUCUUUCACACUAAAUUGAUUUCUGUGAAAAGUCUUUGUCACCUGCAAUAUGAUGAUGCUUCUAAGUCUAUGCACCAUCUUAACAGAAGGUCCCCAGGUGGACCUUGAGCCAUCUUUCUGUGACCCCUCUGUGACCUCUCUGUAUUGUUGCCCUUUUUUGAUAUUUCUGAUGAUCUCCUCUGAGACUCCAGCUGCAACAUCACCCUCUCAGAAGCACAGAUUUCAUCCUCUGGAAAUAAAUCCUGGAUAUAUAGUUUUUAAAUUGCUCUCUUUGAAAACUGCCUCUACUCUCUGAUUUAUUUCUGGUGUGUGUGUGUGUGUGUGUGUGUGUGUGUGUGUGUGUGUGUGUAGUUCUCAUCUGCUAAUAUGCCUUUAAGACAUUCUAGAACUAUUUUUGAUUGGAUUCUAGUUAAUAAUAAGAAUAGUAAUAGUAAUAAAACACUGAAGAGAUUACAAAGCACUUUCCUAAUACUAGAAAUGAAGCUUAAGGGGUCUAAACAGCAAAACCAGGCUACUAUAUUAGUAAGGGGUAGUUAGGUUUAAAAUUCCUGUCCAGGAGAGAUUUAUUCAGGUAGCACUCACUUCAAGGUUUUUCUUUCAUCAAUAGCCACAGUUGUCUUAAUAUUUCUCAAGUAAGAAAAACAGAAACCAACCAAGCAACCCAUUGACAAACCAAAACAUUGUGUUAGACAGUUUUUGAUGUUGCACUUUGUGGGAAGUGUGGACUCUAUAAAUUCUUGAUUUGUAUAUUUCUGAGCUUUAAGACUGGAAAUACCAGCUAGUGCUGAGAACAAAUAAUUAAUGAUGACUUCACUUAGAAAUUUUCAACAACUACAUAUGGGAAAACCAAGAGCUCUCUUUUAUUAUUAUGAAUAAUUCUCUUUUCUCAUUCAAAGAAACAUCAAUUCAGUAUAGACAGGCGUACUAAUGAAGAGUAGAGAGUAAUCAAAUACAGAAUGAUGGCAGUUACUUGUCUUAGUCCACCCAAUUGUCUGAUUUCCUACUUACUCCCUGAGAGAAGGUUUUGGAGUGUCCUGGGUGUGUGCAUGUGUGAUAUGUGUGUAUGUAUGCAUGUGCAUAUAUAUACACACACCCUUUUGCAUGUGUGUGUUUAUAUUCAAGUACUUUAGUUGUUAGCAAACGAAGAUAAUAAAAACAGCUAACAUUUA